This 253-nucleotide ribosomal RNA is filed under the name uncultured bacterium. RNAcentral's name for it is "partial 16S ribosomal RNA". It matches the Rfam family "Bacterial small subunit ribosomal RNA", at positions 524 to 776 of the family's 1533-position model. The record is from RNAcentral.
UACGUAGGGUGCGAGCGUUAAUCGGAAUUACUGGGCGUAAAGUGUGCGCAGGCGGCCGAGCAAGUCGAGUGUGAAAGCCCCGAGCUUAACUUGGGAACUGCGCUCGAAACUACUUAGCUGGAGUGUGGCAGAGGAAGGUGGAAUUCCACGUGUAGCGGUGAAAUGCGUAGAGAUGUGGAGGAACACCGAUGGCGAAGGCAGCCUUCUGGGCCAACACUGACGCUCAUGCACGAAAGCGUGGGGAGCAAACAGG